This 114-nucleotide non-coding RNA is filed under the name Sediminibacillus halophilus. Its description in RNAcentral is "SAM-I sequence". It matches the Rfam family "SAM riboswitch aptamer (S box leader)". Rfam says of the family: The SAM riboswitch is found upstream of a number of genes which code for proteins involved in methionine or cysteine biosynthesis in Gram-positive bacteria. The SAM riboswitch acts at the level of transcription termination control. Lineage: Bacteria; Bacillati; Bacillota; Bacilli; Caryophanales; Bacillaceae. The record is from RNAcentral.
CUCUUAUCAAGAGAGGUGGAGGGACUGGCCCUAUGAAGCCCGGCAACCGUUAACCAGUUUACUGGUUAAAAUGGUGCCAAUUCCUGCGAAGCGACGAGCUUUGGCAGAUGAGAG